Molecule: non-coding RNA, 214 nt
Organism: Triticum aestivum (bread wheat)
Lineage: Eukaryota; Viridiplantae; Streptophyta; Magnoliopsida; Poales; Poaceae
Source: Rfam
GAAACUUUUGACUCAAGUCAAACGGUGCAAAGUUUGACCAAGUUUGUAGGAAAAACUGCCAGCAACUGCAGCACCAAAUUAAUUAGUAUUGUUAAAUCCAUAAUAAAAUAUAGUUUAUAUUAUCUCUAUUUUCUGUUUAGUCUUGUAGUUGCUGGUAGUUUUUCCUAUAAACUUAAUCAAACUUUGCGCCGUUUGACUUGAGCAAAAAGUUACA